RNAcentral lists this long non-coding RNA (278 nucleotides) under Salvia miltiorrhiza (redroot sage). RNAcentral's name for it is "long non-coding RNA (SMIL_LNC009121)". Lineage: Eukaryota; Viridiplantae; Streptophyta; Magnoliopsida; Lamiales; Lamiaceae. The record is from RNAcentral.
AUCUACAAAAGGCAAAAAACAUACAUGCUAUUGCUAUAUUACAUACAAACUUAUCUUCUUACAACAACUUCAACAAAUUAGUAAAGACUACUGGCAAGUACCAAUUUAAAAAACAAAAAAAAAAACGAAAAAAGGCAUAUUUACUAAAAGAAACGAGCGAAAAAAUUAGAGAGAUACAAAAUUAAUAGCCUAUUUUUUUUUAAAGAAAAAACGCGCUCAUGGUAAUGAUUCAGCUUCUACGGGUAUGCGGCGGAGACGAGAAACAGCAGAUAUAGAGG